CCACAUAUGAAUAGGCUCCAAAGGACAAAUGCCUUUGAGAUGUAAGGAAAACAGCAAGACCCAACCUCAGAUCUUCUCCAUAGGCAUAGAAGGAAAGUGAAGUCAUGAAGGGCCGAGUGGCCACAGAGGGGUUUUGAGCCAUGGGAAC
This 148-nucleotide long non-coding RNA is filed under the name Vulpes vulpes (red fox). Its description in RNAcentral is "lncRNA (ENSVVUG00000022397.1)". The record is from RNAcentral. Lineage: Eukaryota; Metazoa; Chordata; Mammalia; Carnivora; Canidae.